Long non-coding RNA from Malurus melanocephalus (red-backed fairy wren), 936 nucleotides. RefSeq lists it as uncharacterized. Lineage: Eukaryota; Metazoa; Chordata; Aves; Passeriformes; Maluridae. The record is from RefSeq and is a predicted model, not a curated record. The transcript is spliced from 2 exons.
ACGUGAGCUUUACUACAGCAUUCCAAGCUAGCAAAUCGACAGGGCCUAUGCAGCCUCCAAAGGAUUCCUUCUCCAAGCAGGAGGCCCUUUCCUUGGCACGACCCCAAGGGGAGAGGCGCUGAGUGACCGGUCGGCCACGGGAGGCUGCGUGUAACACGAGAGGGGCACUCACCGCGACCUUUCCCGGUACGCGGCAGAAGGAGAAAGUCGCAGCGAGCGUCACACACCGUGUCACACACUGCAGCCUCCCGAGCGUCUUCGUGUCACCGCUUCACAGGGCUGCGCAGCCAAAAACAAGUCCGCACCCCCGAAUGGCAUUCACAGGAAGCAAGGGUUGAGGCUGGCGAGGUGCGAGCUGGAAGAAGAAUUUAACUGGCACAGCCCGACCCCUCCUAGGAGCAAGGUGACGGCGGAGAUGGAAACACUGGGAUUUCCAAGCAAGACAGGGGAGGAGAGAGCUGAAAAGGAGGGGAAAGGGAACCACGCCGGGAAGACUUGUCACAAGCAAGAACAGCAGCUGCGGGGGCCGUAGGCCAAAGCACUCCGCAGGGAGCGACCGCGACCCCAGCCGGCCCGGCCGUGCCUCAGCCCCAACCCAGCCUGCCCCCGCUCCCGAGCGGUCGCUACCUUCCCCGCAGCAGAACCCAGCGAGGCGCGGAGACCGCUACCCCUCAGCCCGGCCGACACCCGGCUGCAGAUCAUGGAGGCCGCCAUGGCCGAACCCCUUCGCCCUCGGGUGCCCCUGCCAGAGCGCACGCGCCGCUCCCGAGGACGCGGGGCGGGGCGGGGCAGGAAGCGCCUCGCGCGGCCCCGCCCCCGCCGUGAUGCCCGCCCGGCGCCGGGGUGGGCCGGCCGUGAACGACUCCGCCCGGUGUCUCCGGUAUUGAUCCGUUUUACGUUCAAUAAACGUUGUUUUUUUCUUGCAAAGAUCCUAAA